AGAGUUUGAUCCUGGCUCAGAACGAACGCCGGCGGCAGGCCUAACACAUGCAAGUCGAGCGCACUUAUUUCCUUCGGGUUAUAGGCGAGCGGCGGACGGGUUAGUAACGCGUGGGAACGUACCCUUUACUACGGAAUAGCCUUUGGAAACGAAGAGUAAUACCGUAUACGCCCUUUGGGGGAAAGAUUUAUCGGUAAAGGAUCGGCCCGCGUUAGAUUAGAUAGUUGGUGGGGUAAUGGCCUACCAAGUCUACGAUCUAUAGCUGGUUUGAGAGGAUGAUCAGCAACACUGGGACUGAGACACGGCCCAGACUCCUACGGGAGGCAGCAGUGGGGAAUCUUAGACAAUGGGCGAAAGCCUGAUCUAGCCAUGCCGCGUGAGUGAAGAAGGCCCUAGGGUCGUAAAACUCUUUCGCCAGAGAUGAUAAUGACAGUAUCUGGUAAAGAAACCCCGCUAACU
This 459-nucleotide ribosomal RNA is filed under the name uncultured bacterium. Its description in RNAcentral is "bacterial SSU rRNA". It matches the Rfam family "Bacterial small subunit ribosomal RNA", at positions 8 to 502 of the family's 1533-position model. The record is from RNAcentral.